GAUGAACGCUGGCGGCGUGCCUAAUACAUGCAAGUCGAGCGAACAGACGAGGAGCUUGCUCCUCUGACGUUAGCGGCGGACGGGUGAGUAACACGUGGAUAACCUACCUAUAAGACUGGGAUAACUUCGGGAAACCGGAGCUAAUACCGGAUAAUAUAUUGAACCGCAUGGUUCAAUAGUGAAAGACGGUUUUGCUGUCACUUAUAGAUGGAUCCGCGCCGCAUUAGCUAGUUGGUAAGGUAACGGCUUACCAAGGCGACGAUGCGUAGCCGACCUGAGAGGGUGAUCGGCCACACUGGAACUGAGACACGGUCCCGACUCCUACGGGAGGCAGCAGUAGGGAAUCUUCCGCAAUGGGCGAAAGCCUGACGGAGCAACGCCGCGUGAGUGCUGAAGGUCUUCGGAUCGUAAAACUCUGUUAUUAGGGAAGAACAAAUGUGUAAGUAACUAUGCACGUCUUGACGGUACCUAAUCAGAAAGCCACGGCUAACUACGUG
Molecule: ribosomal RNA, 497 nt
Filed under: uncultured bacterium
Lineage: Bacteria
Description: partial 16S ribosomal RNA
Rfam family: Bacterial small subunit ribosomal RNA
Source: RNAcentral